RNAcentral lists this ribosomal RNA (440 nucleotides) under uncultured bacterium. Its description in RNAcentral is "partial 16S ribosomal RNA". It matches the Rfam family "Bacterial small subunit ribosomal RNA", at positions 338 to 795 of the family's 1533-position model. The record is from RNAcentral.
CCUACGGGUGGCAGCAGUGGGGGAUAUUGCACAAUGGGGGAAACCCUGAUGCAGCGACGCCGCGUGGGUGAAGAAGCGCCUCGGCGCGUAAAGCCCUGUCAGCAGGGAAGAAAAUGACGGUACCUGAAGAAGAAGCCCCGGCUAACUACGUGCCAGCAGCCGCGGUAAUACGUAGGGGGCAAGCGUUAUCCGGAUUGACUGGGUGGAAAGGGGGCGCAGACGGCGAGGCAAGCCAGGAGAGAAAGCACGGGGCCCAACCCCGGGACUGCUCUUGGAACUGCGUGGCUAGAGUGCAGGAGGGGCAGGCGGAAUGCGUGGUGUAGCGGUGAAAUGCGUAGAUAUCAGGCGGAACACCGGUGGCGAAGGCGGCCUGCUGGACUGCAACUGACGUUGAGGCCCGAAAGCGUGGGGAGCAAACAGGAUUAGAUACCCGAGUAGUC